AGCACAUCUGAACCUUCAGCCAUGCUGAAGGUAUCAGUACGGCAAGAUUUCUGCUAUAUUUACUUCCAAAAUCUGCCCAGAUACAACCAUAGAUUAUCUACUCCCUUUCAUUUUUCUUUUUUUUUUUCAUUCUUCCUGAACUGAAGAGGCUGUUCUUUAAAGUCUGUGAUGCAAGACAUUGUGAGCAUCUUCACCUGGACAUGUCUAACUGAGGAAAAUCAAGGUUCAAGCUGCAGACAUGGUUGGGACAUCCACUGAAUCCAGUAUUCUUGGUACUGAAGAGCCUUGGACCCACCUAACACGGCUAUAGACUUUGGGGUCUGGCACUCAUUGGGAUAUCUGUGAAAAUCAUUCCACUGCACAGGAAAGACUAAAGGAGGGUGGGAGUCACUGUGCUAUUAGUCCUAAAGUUAAACUGCAAGAACCUCACGACCUCUGCAUAUCUCAGCUCACUGAAAGU
Molecule: long non-coding RNA, 460 nt
Organism: Lagopus muta (rock ptarmigan)
Lineage: Eukaryota; Metazoa; Chordata; Aves; Galliformes; Phasianidae
Exons: 3
Source: RefSeq, a predicted model, not a curated record